UUAAGUAGCACUCAACAAUGAGAAGAAAAGAGGUUUUGAGUAGAAUAUUGUAAAAAACAACGCUUUAUUUCAAGAAAACACAGCGUGCUCAACACGGUCCAAUAACAACUAUCAACACACUGUAACAUUAGCAUGAGAGGUUCAGAGCAGCUUUAAGAAACAUGGGGCUGGGUUUCAGAGGUUUACAGAAUAAAAGAGGUUCAGAGCAGAAUAGUCAGAAAGAGAUGCAGGGUUAGCUUUCAUGCUGUACGCUAGAUAACUGCGGUAAGAUUCGUUUACACUUGUCUGCAGCUCUUUAGAUCCCUCACCCCGUUGUAGUCCAGUAUUUCAGUCCCAGGACUUUGGAACAACAGACAGGGGAAACUAAACAGCGCAGUUAUAAGUUAUAAAUUCAAAAGUUAAAAUGUUUCAGUUCUCAAUUCAUUAUCUGAUGAAUAGUUUACAUUCUUAGUUGUGAUGAGGUGUACCCACUUUCCUCUUCCCCCACAACCUCUUUCUCACAGCGCUUUGAGCAUCUUAUUAAUGGAAAGGUUUUUUAAUGCAAUAUAUUAUAAUAACUCCAAUGCUGCCUUUUUCUUUGUUACUUUUCUCAGGUUAAUGCAGAAUUCAUGCGGAUCACAACUAUGCCUCUACAAACCAAGUUCAUGGCACAACUUGACAGAUACUCUGCUGACCUAACCAAGCUCUUCAGCAAGAGAGGCGGGACUGCUGGAAAGAAGAUUAGACGCAUCAUGGAGAGGACGCCUCAGGUAUAUGAACUUUGCCAUUUAGUAGUUGACACUGUAAGAGCCGAGCCUGUCCAAACAUGGAACACGGAAGGCAAAGUCGGGGUUAAAAUGCCGAGAUAUGUUUGUUGCACGAAGACAGGUAGGCAUCUAAAUAAUAAGAAUAAUCAAUCACUUAAAGGUAACCAACAGAGCAUGAAUCAAAACAACUAGUUUUUUGUUUCUUUUCCAAAUUCCUUGAUUAUAUGGUUCCUUGUUGUCUAAUAAAUAUGUUGAAUCGCUCUAAUGUAUUUCCUACCUUCUAAUUUCUUCGCAAAAUGAUAUUUAACUAAUGUUUUUGUAAACGGCGAUGUUUACUUCAAAAGUAGAGUUGGAUAUCUUCUUAGUUAAGCUCAGUCCAGUGUGUUGUUACCGUCUCCAGGAAACAACAGCACUCCAGCUUAGUCCUCUUUCAGUUCUUCUGCACAAAAGACAAGUCGGCCUUAAUAUGUGAUGACAUAAACUCCAGACGAGAACGUGUCCUAAGAAGCCUCUGUGUCUACCUCAAUGAGGAUGAUGAAACUCUCAUCAAGGAAUACAUGAACCGCAACUUGGAAGAAGCGGACAGGGAGUCGGCCACCAUGGGACUUCAUGUCGUUCGGAAAGAGGGUGCUGAUGCAGGGGAAGAGCCUGAACAUGUCGGAGUGGUGAUCGAGGGUGUGGAGCUGCUAAGCAACCUGGGAAGCGUUUCUUUUGGAUUUUCCAUGCUUUUUGGACUGAUUUACUGUCUCAACAUGAGCUACCCACAAGGGCUCAAAUUCACAUUUGAGUUCCUCCAGAAGGUGCUGAUGAACUUGGAUGGCAACAAUCUUUCUCCUAAGGUUCAAGCACUUAAAAUUAAGAUGCUCCAGUAAACUCACUUAUAGGUCUGAAGGCCUCAUGUUUUGUUUUACAUUUUAUUUUAGAUCUUAAAGAGGAUUGUCUUUUUCUCUCUCCCCACUUAAGGAACCAAAACAAACUUUAAUUUGUAUUGACAUUUGCUCAUUAACAAUAUUAUUUGUGUUAGAUAGUGGUAUAUUCAGACAAAUCUUGUUCAUGGGUCAAGAUCAUUCCCUUUCACUGAUGCCUGGUGCUAAUGUUCAGUGGUCAAUAUUAUUCCCUCACUGAGGCCUGCCAUUUAUUCCAGAAGCUUCCAAAUUGUGUUCAUUUAAGUGGUAUGGCGAGGCAAAAAAAACCUGAAGAGUUGUGAUGUUAAUAAAUGUUUAAUA
RNA transcript from Pseudoliparis swirei, 1972 nucleotides. RefSeq lists it as uncharacterized. NCBI's taxonomy places the organism in Eukaryota, Metazoa, Chordata, Actinopteri, Perciformes, Liparidae. The record is from RefSeq and is a predicted model, not a curated record. The transcript has 3 exons.